GCCACACCUGAUGCUGGUUAUCGCAGCAGUAUUUAGUCCAGCAACUGUUCUUCGUGGAAACAUCUGCUGACAAGAUUGCCAUACAGUAGUGGUGUGCGAUACUGCAUAUUUUUUUAUUAUUGUGGCCGGUCUGCGAUGCCACAGUAGCUGAGAUGGACUCACAUGCACGGUAUCUACAAUCACGCCUCGCCUGCUUAAAACUUGUGCUCUGUUCUGUGUUGUAGUUGGUAUUGAUGUGUAUAGCUGGCAGCAUGAGAGCUGCAGCCAUUGAAUGUACUGUUAAAGCAACUGUGUGAUUAUUGUAAGAAUAAAUGACGAUGCAAAGCAUGAAAAUGCCAUCGGGUCUGCCGUGGUGGUUUAGUUAUCUUUUUUUUAUUUUUUUAUAAAAAUCUUACAAUAAAGUGUGCAAACCAGUGAACAAAUUAAAACAAGCACUGUUGAGGAACUAUAAUACAAGAUUUACAAUUAAAAUUCUCAACAACAAAAACAACUGGUAAAUAUAUAAAUAUAUGUAAAGAACUUAACAGCCCCCAAAGCGUCUAAGACACGUCAUGUGACAGCACAACAUCUAAACAAAUGGUGUGGGGGAAAGUGUGCCUGCUCUGCGCUGACACAGGAGUGGUGAGUCCAGCAACCUAGCUGUUUCGUUUUUUGCAAAAAGUACAAACAAAGGCAGAAGUUAAAGUAAAGAAUCAAUCUCACCAGGCUAGUGUUGAUCCGAUACCGACUUGGUAUUGAUCUAAUCGAUGCUUGGAUCAAUCCUCCCACCACUACUAUACGGAUCACUGCUUCACUUCACUAUAGAUAUCAUCACUUCCAACACAUAAUCAUCCCAAAAUGUAACAUACGACGCCAUGUGACAAAUCGUCGGUAUGUUAUGCUUUUGGCCACCCAACCCGUCUGUAUGUUACGCAUGAGAAACAUGAGAACCGUUUGGAAUGAAUCUACACAUGUACAUUUAUUUUACUUUCUCAUCAUUAAUCACUUUGAAAAAAACAAUCUAAAUACGAUGAAGACUUUAGUUAACCCUUUA
Long non-coding RNA from Oreochromis aureus, 1033 nucleotides. NCBI's taxonomy places the organism in Eukaryota, Metazoa, Chordata, Actinopteri, Cichliformes, Cichlidae. The record is from Ensembl.